UCCACUAUUCCCCACAACUGGGGAAAAACACAUAAUCGCUUCUUUUAAAAACAAUAAAUGAGGAAAGCCAAUCUGUACUUCCAGAAAAAGGUGAAGAAGAGGGUCAGGAAGCUUUGCCUAGGACUGUGGCCAGACGAAUCAGCCCUAGGAUUCGAGAGAGUGGAGACUGUAGGUGUUUGGAUCUAUGCGAGACAGCAAAUUUUGGCAGUAAUCUACGAAACAAUAAAAAAAAUCAGGAAGAUAUAUGCCAAACUAUGGAACACAAGCAACCUGACAUCAGAAAAAAAAUAAUAAAAUAGAAGAAUCUUGAAAAUAAGAGUGCAUAACAGAAAAAAACAAGAUCAAUGAAAUCGGGAUUGAGAUUGUCCUGGUUCAUACUAUAAAACUAAGAAAAAUUUUAUUUGAAAAAGAAAUCACAAAGAAUUUCUCCUCCCAAUUUAAAUAUUAUCGGACUGUAAAAAAUCUCCCUCAAUUAAAAGAAGUUAUAUAUUCAACCA
RNAcentral lists this long non-coding RNA (497 nucleotides) under Androctonus crassicauda. The record is from RNAcentral. Lineage: Eukaryota; Metazoa; Arthropoda; Arachnida; Scorpiones; Buthidae.